Molecule: ribosomal RNA, 203 nt
Filed under: uncultured Bacteroidota bacterium
Lineage: Bacteria; Pseudomonadati; Bacteroidota
Description: uncultured Bacteroidetes bacterium partial 16S ribosomal RNA
Rfam family: Bacterial small subunit ribosomal RNA
Source: RNAcentral
AGGCAGCAUUGAGGAAUAUUGGCCAAUGGGGGAAAAUGGGACCCAGCCAUGCCGCUUGCAGGAAAACGCCCCUAUGGGUUGAAAAACGGUUUUGGUAGGGGCCAAUAAGGUUUACGCGUAGACAAAUGACAGUACCCAGCGAAUAAGCAUCGGCUAACUCCGUGCCAGCAGCCGCGGUAAUACGGAGGAUGCGAGCGUUAUCC